Molecule: ribosomal RNA, 542 nt
Filed under: Euplica deshayesii
Lineage: Eukaryota; Metazoa; Mollusca; Gastropoda; Neogastropoda; Columbellidae
Description: partial small subunit ribosomal RNA
Source: RNAcentral
AACCAAAAGAUAAAGUCAUAUUAGUAGGUAAAAAGAUAGUUAGGUUAGGUUAAAAGUUUAUAGAUUUGUUAUAUGAAGGUAAAAUUUGAAUAUAAUGCUAUAAAAUAUAAUAAGCUGCAACACUGAAGCUAUGAUAAUUUUGAGGGAAACUGGGAUUAGAUACCCCAUUAUUCAAAACUUUAAAUUAAUAAAAAUUUACCAGAGUACUAUGAAUAAAUAAAAUUUAAAACUCAAAGGGCUUGGCGGUGUUUUAGACCAAUUAGGGGAACCUGUCUCGUAAUCGACAAUCCACGUUAGACCUAACCCUUUUUUGUGUUACAGUUUGUAUACCGUCGUCGUCAGGUAACUCUUAAGAAAUAAGAAGUUGGCAUAUAUAAUAAUGUUAGUUAAAACGUCAGAUCAAGGUGCAGCUUAUAAAAGGGAGAGGAUGGGUUACAAUUAUUUAUUAAUAACUAUGGAUGGUUCAAUGAAAAAAGCUUGAAGGAGGACUUAAAAGUAAUGUUGUAAUAUAUAGAUAGUUUGAAUAAGGCUCUGAAACGUGC